GAUUAGCCUGCGUCCGAUUAGCUAGUUGGUGGGGUAAGGGCCUACCAAGGCGACGAUCGGUAGCUGGUCUGAGAGGAUGACCAGCCACACUGGAACUGAGACACGGUCCAGACUCCUACGGGAGGCAGCAGUGGGGAAUAUUGGACAAUGGGGGCAACCCUGAUCCAGCAAUGCCGCGUGUGUGAAGAAGGCCUGAGGGUUGUAAAGCACUUUCAGUGGGGAGGAGGGUUGAUAGGUUAAGAGCUGAUUAACUGGACGUUACCCACAGAAGAAGCACCGGCUAACUCCGUGCCAGCAGCCGCGGUAAUACGGAGGGUGCGAGCGUUAAUCGGAAUUACUGGGCGUAAAGGGUGCGUAGGUGGUUGAUUAAGUUAUCUGUGAAAUUCCUGGGCUUAACCUGGGACGGUCAGAUAAUACUGGUUGACUCGAGUAUGGGAGAGGGUAGUGGAAUUUCCGGUGUAGCGGUGAAAUGCGUAGAGAUCGGAAGGAACACCAGUGGCGAAGGCGGCUACCUGGCCUAAUAUUGACACUGAGGCACGAAAGCGUGGGGAGCAAACAGGAUUAGAUACCCUGGUAGUCCACGCUGUAAACGAUGUCAACUAGCUGUUGG
RNAcentral lists this ribosomal RNA (610 nucleotides) under uncultured Legionella sp. RNAcentral's name for it is "bacterial SSU rRNA". It matches the Rfam family "Bacterial small subunit ribosomal RNA", at positions 224 to 826 of the family's 1533-position model. The record is from RNAcentral. Lineage: Bacteria; Pseudomonadati; Pseudomonadota; Gammaproteobacteria; Legionellales; Legionellaceae.